GACGAACGCUGGCGGCGUGCUUAACACAUGCAAGUCGAACGGAAAGGCCCUGCUUUUGUGGGGUGCUCGAGUGGCGAACGGGUGAGUAACACGUGAGUAACCUGCCCUUGACUUUGGGAUAACUUCAGGAAACUGGGGCUAAUACCGGAUAGGAGCUCCUGCUGCAUGGUGGGGGUUGGAAAGUUUCGGCGGUUGGGGAUGGACUCGCGGCUUAUCAGCUUGUUGGUGGGGUAGGGGCUUACCAAGGCUUUGACGGGUAGCCGGCCUUGGAGGGUGGACGGGCACCAUGGGCCUGAGAUACGGACCAGACGCCUACGGGAGGCAGCAGUGGGGAAUCUUGCACAAUGGGCGGAAGCCUGAUGCAGCAACGCCGGGUGCGGGAUGACGGCCUUCGGGUUGUAAACCGCUUUCGCCUGUGACGAAGCGUGCGUGACGGUAAUGGGUAAAGAAGCACCGGCUAACUACGUG
This 468-nucleotide ribosomal RNA is filed under the name uncultured bacterium. RNAcentral's name for it is "partial 16S ribosomal RNA". It matches the Rfam family "Bacterial small subunit ribosomal RNA", at positions 28 to 507 of the family's 1533-position model. The record is from RNAcentral.